AUUUUAAUGAGUGAAAUAAGUAUUUGAUCCCCUCUCAAUCAGAAAGAUUUUUGGCUCCCAGGUAUCUUUUAUACAGGUAACGAGCUGAGAUUAGGAGCACACUCUUAGGAGCAAGGUCUCCCUGCUCAAGAAAGCACAUGUACAGGCCCAUCUGAAGUUUACCAAUGAACAUCUGAAUGAUUCACAGGAGAACUGGGUAAAAGUGUUAUGGUCAGAUGAGACCGAAAUCGAGCUCUUUAGCAACAACUCAACUCGCAGUGUUUGGAGGAGGAGGAAUGCUGCCUAUGACCCCAGGAACACCAUCACCACCGUCAAAUAUGGAGGUGGAAACAUUAUGCUUUGGGGGUGUUUUUCUGCUAAGGGGAGAGGAAAAUUUCACUGCAUCAAAGGGACGAUGGACGGGGCCAUGUACCAUCAAAUCUUGGGUGAGAACCUCCUUCCCCCAGCCAGGGCAUUAAAAAUAGGUCGUGGAUGAGUAUUCCAGCAUGACAAUGACUCAAAACACACAGCAAAGGCAACAAAGGAGUGGCUCAAGAAGAAGCACAUUAAGGUCCUGGAGUGGCCUAGCCAGUCUCCAGACCUUAUUCCCAUAGAAAAUCUGUGGAGGGAGCUGAAGGUUUGAGUUGCCAAAAGUCAGCCUCGAAACCUUAAUGACAUAAAGAAGAUCUGCAAAGAGGAGUGUGACAAAAUCCCUCCUGAGAUGUGUGCAAACCUGGUGGCCAACUACAAGAAACGUCUGACCUCUGUGAUUGCCAAUAACAGUUUUGCCACCAAGUACUAAGUCAUGUUUUGCAGAGGGGUCAAAUACUUAUUUCACUCAUUAAAAUGCAAAUAUAUUAAUUAGCACCCCCUAAAUAAAUGAAUAUAUCAGUUAAUAUAUUUUCUCUUUUUUUUUUUCUUUCGUCAAGCUUUCCAUCGCAUCUGAACUUCUUACAAGUUGUAUAGACAUUUUAUGGAAUCGUGUUCAUUUGGCAACAAGUUCUUUUGAGUUUGAUGCUUUGAAUGUAACUCGGUCAUCUGAAGCUGUCUACUGUAAAUAGUAGCUAAUGUUUCUAGUGCUAGGAGAAGUAAAUCCUCUCAUGUUCAAAAUGUAAUAUCACUGGAAAGCAACAACAUGUUUUGUUAAUCAACAUACUCUUUGAGAUAGCCCACCACAAUUCUUUAUAGAAAUGUAUGGAGGUAAAAAAAAAAGAGGUCUUAAAAAAUGUAAUGUAAGGAAAUUAUGACAAGUUGCAGUUUCUGAAUUUCGACUUGCACAACUGUCCAGACGUCAUGUGAUCAGUGAUUAGUUGGAGACAGUGGCUGAUAAUACGGGGGUCAUAUUUUUUAGCUAUGUCACUAAUCAACUAAUGAAAAUAUUAAUUUCCCAUUAAUAUUCUUGAGCCACUCCUUUGUCUCAUCUCAUCUUCAUCCGCUUAUCCGGUAUCGGGUCGCGGGGGCAGCAGCUCCAGCAGGGGACCCCAAACUUCCCUUUCCCGAGCCACAUUUGCCAGCUCUGACUGGGGGAUCCAGAGGCGUUUCCAGGCCAGUGUCGAAAUAUAAUCUCUCCACCUAGUCCUGGGCCUCCCCCGAGGUCUCCUCCCAGCUGGACGUGCCUGGGGAGACGUCCUGGGGGCAUCCUUACCAGAAGCCCGAACCACAUCAACUGGCUCCUUUCGAAGCAAAGGAUCAGCGGCUCUACUCCGAGUUCCUCGCGGAUCACUGAGCUUCUCACCCUAUCCCUAAUGUGUGGGUAUCAGUUAUCCCAAUUAGGAGAAAUGUGAUUUGGCUAAAGCAAGGUCAACUGUUUAAAUUGUCAUGCAUCUACCAUGAAAUACUUUUUCAUACUGAGUAAGAACAACACUACUUCCCACUAGGCCUGUAAUGUGAUUUUCAUCUUAAAGAGGGGCACAUUCAGUUUAACAGUUAAAGCCUGAUUGUUGUUAGAGCACUGGAGAAACAUGAGCAUGCUACUGUACUUUCCAUCUUAUCGGUUUGAUUACCAUCCACAUGCCAGUUGAAAUUUGUACACGGCAAAGAAUAAACACAUAGAAAUAUUGUUGUUCUCCUUGUCUCAACAGCACCAGAACCAAACCUUUUGAUUGACUGUCUUAACCGAUGUCCAUUAAGCAUCACCUCUCACACAUGAGGAUGUUCUGCUUUGAUCUCAGAUACUGCAGAAUCCAAUUCCUCAUCACUCAAUUUAACCAAUGGUAGCUAAAACUGCACAUGAUACUAGCUACAAAUUAGCCAUCACUACUGGUAGCUACGUUAAUUUAAAAAAAUGAAUCUCAUAAUUUCAGAACAUACCGAGGGCAGUGGUAUAGUGGCUGUUUCGUAGUUGUGCCUGAUGUAGUUCAAUCCUGAAGAGCCGCCCUAAUAGGCUCGGUGCACCAGCGUAGUGAAAACUUCCGCUUUUGUCUAGAA
Esox lucius (northern pike) is the source of this 2406-nucleotide long non-coding RNA. Lineage: Eukaryota; Metazoa; Chordata; Actinopteri; Esociformes; Esocidae. The record is from Ensembl.